Non-coding RNA from Canis lupus familiaris (dog), 320 nucleotides. The record is from Rfam. Lineage: Eukaryota; Metazoa; Chordata; Mammalia; Carnivora; Canidae.
GGACGUGAGAGGGAUCUGGCUGUGGCGUCUGUCACUAAGUUGAUCGCCAAGGGUCAAUUCGGCUGAUCUGGCUGGGCUAGGCAUGUAUGAUCUUCCUUCCUCAUUGAUCCAUGUGCAUCCCUCCUGACACUGCAGCUUCAGCUCUGUUAGGUGGGAGAGGAGGAUAAUCCUUUGGUCAAGGGUAUAGGAGUAGCUGUGCUCCAUGGCUAGAAUCUGCAAACUCUCAAGGUCCAUUUGUAAAAAGAACAUCAGGUAGUCAAAUUUCCAAGACUCCAGACACACCCAGAUGAGGUAGUACAUGGAGCAGUCUGCCUUUCUUU